This 492-nucleotide ribosomal RNA is filed under the name uncultured bacterium. RNAcentral's name for it is "partial 16S ribosomal RNA". It matches the Rfam family "Bacterial small subunit ribosomal RNA", at positions 29 to 507 of the family's 1533-position model. The record is from RNAcentral.
AAUGAACGCUGGCGGUAUGCCUAACACAUGCCAGUCGAACGGCAGCACAGUAAGAGCUUGCUCUUACGGGUGGCGAGUGGCGGACGGGUGAGGAAUACAUCGAAAUCUACUUUUUCGGGGGGGAUAACGUAGGGAAACGUACGCUAAUACCGCAUACGACCUACGGGUGAAAGCAGGGGAUCUUCGGACCUUGCGCGAUUGAAUAAGCCGAUGUCGGAUUAGCUAGUUGGCGGGGUAAAGGCGAACCAAGGCGACGAUCCGUAGGUGGUCCGACAGCAUGAUCAGACACACGGGAAGUGAGAAACGGCCGAGACACUUACGGGAGGAAACAGUGGGGAAUAUUGGACAAGGGGCGCAAGCCUGAUACUGCCAUAUGGGGUGGGUGAAGAAGCACUACGGGUGGUAAAGCCAUUUUGUUCGGAAAGAAAAGCAGCAGGUUAAUCCCCCGUUAUAAUGACGGUACCCAAAGAAUAAGCACCGGCUAACUCCGUG